Molecule: transfer RNA, 69 nt
Filed under: Thanatophilus sinuatus
Lineage: Eukaryota; Metazoa; Arthropoda; Insecta; Coleoptera; Silphidae
Description: tRNA-Gln
Source: RNAcentral
UACAUUUAAGUAUAUGAUGUACAAAAGUUUUUGAUACUUUAAGAUACAGUUUAAUUCUGUAAAAUGUAA